AUAAGGGCGCACGGUGGAUGCCUUGGCACUAGGAGCCGAUGAAGGACGGGACUAACACCGAUAUGCUUUGGGGAGCUGUACGUAAGCUAUGAUCCAGAGAUUUCCGAAUGGGGGAACCCAGCAUCUUUUAUAGGAUGUUACGUUUGCGUGAAUACAUAGCGCAUUCGAGGUAGACGCAGAGAACUGAAACAUCUAAGUACCUGCAGGAAGAGAAAGAAAAUUCGAUUCCCUGAGUAGCGGCGAGCGAAACGGGAAAAGCCCAAACCAAUGAGCUUGCUCAUUGGGGUUGUAGGACUCCAAUAUGGUAGUUCUUUCAGAUAGUCGAAUGACUUGGAAAAGUCAGUCAAAGAGGGUAAAAACCCCGUAGAUGAAAUUUGGAAGGCACCUAGGAGGAUCCUGAGUACGGCGGAACACGAGGAAUUCCGUCGGAAUCCGGGAGGACCAUCUCCCAAGGCUAAAUACUCCCUAGUGACCGAUAGUGAACCAGUACCGUGAGGGAAAGGUGAAAAGCACCCCGGAAGGGGAGUGAAAUAGAACCUGAAACCGUGUGCCUACAACAAGUCAAAGCCCGUUAAUGGGUGAUGGCGUGCCUUUUGUAGAAUGAACCGGCGAGUUACGAUUGCAUGCGAGGUUAAGUUGAAGAGACGGAGCCGCAGCGAAAGCGAGUCUGAAUAGGGCGUUUGAGUAUGUAGUCGUAGACCCGAAACCAUGUGAUCUACCCAUGUCCAGGUUGAAGGUGCGGUAAAACGCACUGGAGGACCGAACCCACGUACGUUGAAAAGUGCGGGGAUGAGGUGUGGGUAGCGGAGAAAUUCCAAACGAACUUGGAGAUAGCUGGUUCUCUCCGAAAUAGCUUUAGGGCUAGCCUCGGAAUUGAGAAUGAUGGAGGUAGAGCACUGUUUGGACUAGGGGCCCAUCUCGGGUUACCGAAUUCAGAUAAACUCCGAAUGCCAUUCAUUCAUAUCCGGGAGUCAGACUGUGAGUGAUAAGAUCCAUAGUCGAAAGGGAAACAGCCCAGACCACCAGCUAAGGUCCCAAAAUAUAUGUUAAGUGGAAAAGGAUGUGGGGUUGCACAGACAACUAGGAUGUUGGCUUAGAAGCAGCCACCAUUUAAAGAGUGCGUAAUAGCUCACUAGUCGAGUGACCCUGCGCCGAAAAUGUACCGGGGCUAAACAUAUUACCGAAGCUGUGGAGUACACCUUUAGGUGUAUUGGUAGGAGAGCGUUCUAAGGGCGUUGAAGGCAGAUCGUGAGGACUGCUGGAGCGCUUAGAAGUGAGAAUGCCGGUAUGAG
RNAcentral lists this ribosomal RNA (1292 nucleotides) under Enterococcus hirae. RNAcentral describes it as "partial 23S ribosomal RNA". It matches the Rfam family "Bacterial large subunit ribosomal RNA", at positions 12 to 1306 of the family's 2925-position model. Lineage: Bacteria; Bacillati; Bacillota; Bacilli; Lactobacillales; Enterococcaceae. The record is from RNAcentral.